AAGAUCGAUUUAAAAAAAAGUAGAUCGUCACCGACAAAAGAAUGUUUUUGAGAGUAUUGUAUAAAAAUUUGAAGACGAUCCAUCGAUUAGUUUUUGAGAUCACCGUCUUUGAAAACCAUAUUUCGAGAAAAACGCGUUUAAAGUUUAAAGUUUAGUUCUACUAUUGUUAACAGCUAAAUUUUGCACUUUACCUCUAGUCUGCAAUUCCGGGGCCAUAUGAGAUUUCUUCGCGCGUCGCUUUCUGCGCUCGUACUUCGGCCACAUCGAUGCUCGCCCGGUCUUGAUUUUCGCAAUAUGCAGCACAAUUCUUUAAUUAUCAUUAAUAAAUAUGCGGCAGCACCUUCAUUAAAUGUACGUGCAGCAAUAUUGGCAGCAAUUUGCACAACGUGUGCACCGCUGUGCUGCACUUUUGGCGUUAUGCGCCAAAUCAGAUUGUUCAAAUUUUCGUUAACGUUUUGCGUAAAUCUACCAACGUAAAUCUCUCCAGUAAAUUAUCACUAGAAAGUUGUUCAAAUAUUGGACGAAUGACUUUAAUCACAUCAUCGUCCAGUGGCGAUUUAUGUUGAUAUUGCUCCAAAUUGAGCACUCGAACGCUCGAUUCCGUUUUACUCAACUCUUUGUAAUUCCGGCAUUUUUGCAGAUAUCAACAUAAAACUUUCAGGAUAUAUUCUCGAAACUUAAAGCUUUAAGAAAAUGUAAUAAAAAAAAUCGAUUUUUUUUACCCGCUAGGUUGGUGUAACCCUUUAACGUGCCGUCGACUUAACGUAGGUUGGUCCUUUGACACAUAUGUUUCUUCUAACUACUUAUUAUUUUCUUGUUAGUAUCUUGUAUAGAAUUCUCUUUUUUAUAUGCUUUCUCUUUCUUCUUUUUAUGUCUUCUUUUUCUUUUUAACCUAAUCUAACUUAAAACUUUUCUUCGCGCCUCGACCCGUCCAGGGUUCGAAGCUAAACUCUCUUUUAUAUUAUAAACUAUGUUUAUAUAGGUAUAUCUUUAUAUAUUAACAAUAUUUUAAUAUUUUGUAAAAUAUGUAUAAAUAAAACAUUUCACAACUAUUUAUAUAUUUCUUCUUCUAUUUUUUUUAUCUUUUAAAAGUUAUUUAUAAUUGGUCAAGUUAUAUUUUUAUGUUUACUGUUACGGAUAAUAUUUUAUGGAUGUUCUAUGAUUGGUUGAAUUGUUCUAUCUUCUAAUUCCAUUGACUAAUUCUUACGUUACGUCUUAUACUUAUGAUUACGGAAAUUAAUGUGCGAGGGCAAUAAUUCAAAUUAAUCUCUCAUUUUCAUAUGCUUCCACAUUGAAAAAAAUUACGUAUCCGAAUUAGUACAGUUAGUAUGUCUAUCAUUUCUAUCAGCUUGUGUAUAUGUAUAUGUAUAAUAACAUUGCUUUUUUGUUGCAACGUGGAGUUCAAUAUUUAUAUGUUAGUAUUAUUAGUUGUAAAAUUUUUGCUAUUACAGUUUGUAUUAUACAUAUAUAUACUACUAAAAAAAAUAGGGAACACUUUUUGUAUACCGAAUAUUUAGGCUAUUUUCAAACUGCUAUAACUCAGCAAAAAAUCAUCGUAGAAACAAAAUCCAUAAAGCGUUUUAAAGAUUGAAACUUCUUUUCUUAAACGCUUUUUGGUGAUUUUAGUUAUCUUUUUUUUCACCAACGUGGUACAAUGAUGAAGCUUGACCCGUUAAAAUAAAAAUUUUUAAUGCGAAUUUGCUGCGUUGCAUCUCGCGUGAAAAAAAUCAUAGAGUAUUUUUGUUACUUGCAUCCUAGAGCGGGAUCUUUUCCCUUUAUUUUGAGUAGUUGUUCAUUGCUGUACGAUUUUUUUUGACCGAGUUAUUGAGAUUUUAAGUAAAAAUGGUCAUUUUGACUUUCAUCGCUUGUUACUCGUAAACAAAUCAACGUACAGCGCUCAGCAAAAAAGCGUUGGAAAGCUGAAAGUUUACACUUUUAAAUGCUGUUAUUAAUUUUUUCACAGAUUUACUUUUUCUAACAACAAAUUGCGUUCAAAGUUUACGUAAAAAAUUGCAUAUUUUACGGUUUUCAUUUAGUUCAAGGUACUUCUACACACAGGUUCUUACCACACACAUUCUGGGCCAAAGCCAUUGCAAUGGCGCAUUAUAUUCGCAACAGAUGCAUCUCUAAAAGUCUGAUUCAAGGCACUCCAUAUAAGGCGUGGGACCGGUGAGAAGCCGAAUGUCGAACACUUUCGUAUCUUUGGUUCCAAGGUUUUUGUUACGGACAACGCGUCCAACAAAGGAAAGUUCCAACUCAGAGCGAUGGAUGGCAUAUUUGUGGGCUAUUCUAACGCCUAUCUAAGGCCUAUCGGGUUUGGAUUUCAAGCACAAAGAAGAUUUGCAUUUUAAGAGACGUCAAGUUCUUCGACUCCUCUGAAAAUGAGCUCGAGGACACUGCCAACCACGACAGAACGACUGCAACGAUGCGACGCCGGACGUUGUCCAUCCUACUACAACGGAAAUCGCUGUGAAUCCGGGAACAGCCGAAGACAUUAAACAUGUCGCUAUAGAUAAACCUGACGUUCCCGUAUACGAUCAAUCCGUCAGAGAAGAUGCCGACGCAGGUGUAGAGAAAGCAACGAAAAUCUACAUUUCAAAGCCCAAGCUAAAGAAAUGCUAAGAAGAAUGAUUCAUCAGAAAUCCGGUAUCGAGUUAACGUCUAAAGCCGAGAUGAUGUUAUCCCAGUUGAUUGAUGGCGACCGGGUUUGUCGACUCAACAAAGCACUCUACGGCUUUAAGGAAGCAGGGCGUCAAUGGUGACAUCUUCAUCGCAUCCAAGGAUUCAAAAUUAAGGAUCUCCGUGAAGCCAAAUACUGCUUGGAGAUCAAGAUACGUCAAGAAAAAAUGCAGAUUUGUCUAUCUCAAGCCGGUUACAUUCAUGAAAUUCUGAACAGAUUUGGCAUAAUCGAUUGCAAACUCUCUAAGACGCCAUUGAUCGUUAGGUCGAAGUUACUAAAGGAAGACGCCAACAAAAAUGGAGCAAAGACACACCCUACAAGGAACUUACUGUCGCUUUCAUGUACGUGGCAAUGGGAACACGUCCUGACAUUGUUUACUCCGUGAGCGUUCAAUACCAGUUCAACGAUUGCUAUAAGGAGUCACACUGGUCGGCCGCAAAGCGCGUGUUGAGAUAGUUGAAAGGCACCAUCAAUUAUGGUCCCAAAUACAUCAGAGACAGCGAAGGAUUGAUAGGCUAUGUCGACGCCUAUUGGGAAAACUGCAGAAUUGACAGGUCAUACACUGGUAUGGUAUUCGUUCUCGCCGGCGCCGCAAUCUCAUGGGGAUCAAGGAAGCAACGUACGGUUGUAUUGUGAUCGAAGGCCGAAUAUCUGGAACUCACCGAUGCAGCCAAGGAGGCGGUCUACCUUGUCCAGUUCUUGAAGGAAUUGAGCCUCGGAGAUUUAGCUACUGUUACCCUCUACAACAACAUGGGCGUUGCCCAUUUAGCUUAAAAUCCUAUUCAUCACGCCAGAUCAAAGCAUAUUGACAUUCGUUGUCGCUUCAUUUGUAAAGUUUUAUCCGGGGGAACGAUUCAAUUAAAAUAUCUUCUUACUGAGAAAAUGGCAGCGGAUAUGCUUACAAAGGCGCUUUCAUCACCUAAACACGAGGACUGCUGCAAAACCAUAUGGAUUGGUCCUACUGAAGAUCCAGCCAUGCAUUCACAAAAUUGAGGGAGAGUGUUAGGAAUACAAUUCCUGUGUCCUACACCAAGGUCGCAAUCAAGUAAUCUCAUUAUAUGUAUACUCUCGGUUACGUUCGUAGUCCAAUCAUUUUAGAGCGCCUGAAGCGCCACCGCGUCUACUAUCUAGUUACUUUUCUUACUCUUUGUCUACGGUCGCUAUUGCGCGCCACCCCUUCUCUAGUAGUACACAGUAAAAAAUUUUGUGUUUUCUUGUUAAAAAA
Molecule: long non-coding RNA, 3905 nt
Filed under: Monomorium pharaonis (pharaoh ant)
Lineage: Eukaryota; Metazoa; Arthropoda; Insecta; Hymenoptera; Formicidae
Description: uncharacterized LOC118645517
Source: RNAcentral